UCCCUGGUGGCUCAGUGGUAGAGAAUCUGCCUGCAAUGCAGGAGACCCAGGUUCGAUCCCUGGGUUGGGAA
RNAcentral lists this transfer RNA (71 nucleotides) under Ovis aries (sheep). It matches the Rfam family "tRNA". From Rfam's summary of the family: Transfer RNA (tRNA) molecules are approximately 80 nucleotides in length. Their secondary structure includes four short double-helical elements and three loops (D, anti-codon, and T loops). Lineage: Eukaryota; Metazoa; Chordata; Mammalia; Artiodactyla; Bovidae. The record is from Rfam by way of RNAcentral.